This is a long non-coding RNA of Cannabis sativa, 824 nucleotides long. RefSeq lists it as uncharacterized. The transcript has 2 exons. The record is from RefSeq and is a predicted model, not a curated record. Lineage: Eukaryota; Viridiplantae; Streptophyta; Magnoliopsida; Rosales; Cannabaceae.
CCCACUACUGAUUUUUCCCAUUUUAUUACAUUUAUACUGUGCCACGCUGGAAACAACAUUUGUACUUUUUUUUUUUUUUGGGCAGUUUACUGCCUUGAAACUUUAGCUGUGUAAGGGAUUUAUCAUUGUCACUUAUCAUUCCAGAGUACAUAAUUCAUUACCAAUUGCUUCAUUGCUUCAUUUUUCCAAAAUAUUUUAUUAUAAUAAUAAUAAAAUAAGAAAUAAUGGGUAGUUGUGUCUCCCCACAUCAAAAUUUAAAUUUUUUUGUUUUAUUAAAAUGAUUGAUUUGGAUGUGAGAUGUGACAACUCUCACACACACUACUCAAUAAAGCUAACCCUCUCAUCAACUUUAUCUAUUUAUUUAUAUUUUCCACUCUAAACAAAAACCAAAACCAUGUUACAUUUCUUUUUCACCUUUCUCUGCAAUCCCUUUGACUCUCUACAUCCCUCCCCCAAGAAACCUCAACCUCUUUGUUGAAACCAUGGAAGAUGCUCUCAGAGAGUCCAAACCUUACACUGAUAGACUCUUCUCUAGAGCUCGCCGUGUAUGGUCAUGGAUCUUAUCUUGGGUUCUUUGUGGACCAAGAAGAAGAACAAGAUUUUAUGGUUUUUCCCCGGUGUUUUCAUGAUUCUGGUGUUGAUUUGUCCGUCCCCAACCACGAAGGAAGUGCCGUUUGUGCUAUGUUACUGUUAACAGUAUAAAAGUAAAUAUUUUAGGUCUGAACAGUAUAAAAGAAAAAAAAAAGGCUUGGACAGUAAAAAAGAAAUAAUUGCCGUGUGGCAGUAUUAUUGUAAAAUUUGGGAAAAAAACAGUAUUUUUGUAA